Molecule: ribosomal RNA, 376 nt
Filed under: uncultured Serratia sp.
Lineage: Bacteria; Pseudomonadati; Pseudomonadota; Gammaproteobacteria; Enterobacterales; Yersiniaceae
Description: bacterial SSU rRNA
Rfam family: Bacterial small subunit ribosomal RNA
Source: RNAcentral
UAAUACGAAGGGGGCUAGCGUUGUUCGGAAUUACUGGGCGUAAAGCGCACGCAGGCGGUUUGUUAAGUCAGAUGUGAAAUCCCCGGGCUCAACCUGGGAACUGCAUUUGAAACUGGCAAGCUAGAGUCUCAUAGAGGGGGGUAGAAUUCCAGGUGUAGCGGUGAAAUGCGUAGAGAUCUGGAGGAAUACCGGUGGCGAAGGCGGCCCCCUGGACGAAGACUGACGCUCAGGUGCGAAAGCGUGGGGAGCAAACAGGAUUAGAUACCCUGGUAGUCCACGCUGUAAACGAUGUCGAUUUGGAGGUUGUGCCCUUGAGGCGUGGCUUCCGGAGCUAACGCGUUAAAUCGACCGCCUGGGGAGUACGGCCGCAAGGUUA